Molecule: transfer RNA, 85 nt
Filed under: Pseudidiomarina terrestris
Lineage: Bacteria; Pseudomonadati; Pseudomonadota; Gammaproteobacteria; Alteromonadales; Idiomarinaceae
Description: tRNA-Leu
Source: RNAcentral
GGCCGCUUUAUGAAAGUCCGUGAAAUAUAGGGUACAACGACUCAUAAUCGGUUGGUCCCCAGUUCAAAUCUGGGAGGGGCCACCA